AACGAACGCUGGCGGCAGGCCUAACACAUGCAAGUCGAGCGCGCCUUCGGGUGAGCGGCGGACGGGUGAGUAACGCGUGGGAAUAUGCCCUUUGGUACGGAAUAGUCCUGGGAAACUGGGGGUAAUACCGUAUGCGCCCUUGGGGGAAAGAUUUAUCGCCAAAGGAUUAGCCCGCGUUGGAUUAGGUAGUUGGUGGGGUAAUGGCCUACCAAGCCGACGAUCCAUAGCUGGUUUGAGAGGAUGAUCAGCCACACUGGGACUGAGACACGGCCCAGACUCCUACGGGAGGCAGCAGUGGGGAAUCUUAGACAAUGGGGGCAACCCUGAUCUAGCCAUGCCGCGUGAGUGAUGAAGGCCCUAGGGUUGUAAAGCUCUUUCAGCUGGGAAGAUAAUGACGGUACCAGCAGAAGAAGCCCCGG
RNAcentral lists this ribosomal RNA (419 nucleotides) under uncultured bacterium. RNAcentral's name for it is "bacterial SSU rRNA". It matches the Rfam family "Bacterial small subunit ribosomal RNA", at positions 29 to 496 of the family's 1533-position model. The record is from RNAcentral.